This is a non-coding RNA of Salvelinus sp. IW2-2015, 284 nucleotides long. Lineage: Eukaryota; Metazoa; Chordata; Actinopteri; Salmoniformes; Salmonidae. The record is from RefSeq and is a predicted model, not a curated record.
GGUCAACAACCGGACCAGCAGCUGGAAGGUCACAGGGACCCAUGCCACCCCCACCAUGCACAGGAUGAGACAAUAUCUUGAAGACAGUCUAGAGAACAAUCUUUACAACCCAGAGGGACUGCAGAUCAGCCUUUAUGGCUCUGAGCUUUUCCACUUCCGUAUCUCUGUCAUUCCUGGAGUUGUGUUGUGUGACCUGGUGGAGGAGGUACAGAUCUACGUAGACGAGCCUCCGCGGCGUUCCCAACCCAACAACUCGUCAACAACAUGGCAGCCAUCAUCCUGAG